GGUGGCGAAGGCGGGACUCUGGGCUGUAACUGACACUGAGGAGCGAAAGCAUGGGGAGCGAACAGGAUUAGAUACCCUGGUAGUCCAUGCCGUAAACGUUGGGCACUAGGUGUGGGGGGCAUUCCACGUUCUCCGCGCCGUAGCUAACGCAUUAAGUGCCCCGCCUGGGGAGUACGGUCGCAAGGCUAAAACUCAAAGGAAUUGACGGGGGCCCGCACAAGCGGCGGAGCA
RNAcentral lists this ribosomal RNA (231 nucleotides) under uncultured Brevibacterium sp. RNAcentral describes it as "partial 16S ribosomal RNA". It matches the Rfam family "Bacterial small subunit ribosomal RNA", at positions 711 to 939 of the family's 1533-position model. The record is from RNAcentral. Lineage: Bacteria; Bacillati; Actinomycetota; Actinomycetes; Micrococcales; Brevibacteriaceae.